CUCAGUAACGCCCCGCCCGUGUAAAAGCGAUGGAUGCCCGCUGUCCGUGCUUACCAAUGUGACAAGGAAAGCGUAAGCAUCCCACCUUGGGGAGUACGCGGCAACGGUGAACUCAAAGGAAUGACGGGGGCCGCACCAAGCGGAGGAACAUGUGGUUAAUUCGAUGAUACGCGAGGAACUUUACCCGGGGCUUGAACUGCACAGGAAUGCGGGAGAGAUCCCAAAGCCCUUCGGGGCCUGUGUGGAGGUGCUGCAUGGUUGUCGUCAGCUCGUGCCGUGAGGUGUCGGCUUAAGUGCCAUAACGAGCGCAACCCCUUUCGUCAGUUGCCAGCACGCAGUGGUGGGCACUCUGGCGACACUGCCUCCGUAAGGAGCGAGGAAGGUGGGGAUGACGUCAAAUCAGCACGGCCCUUACGUCCGGGGCUACACACGUGUUACAAUGGCGCGUACAAAAGGGCAAAAUAUACGGCAACGUGUAUCGAAUCCUUAAAACGCGUCCCAGUUCGGACCGGGGUCUGCAACCCGACCCCGCGAAGCUGGAUUCGCUAGUAAUCGCGCAUCAGCCAUGGCGCGGUGAAUACGUUCCCGGGCCUUGUACACACCGCCCGUCAAGCCAUGAAAGCCUGGAGCGCCUGAAGUCCGUUCCCGCGAGGGUCGGCCUAGGGU
RNAcentral lists this ribosomal RNA (666 nucleotides) under uncultured bacterium. RNAcentral's name for it is "bacterial SSU rRNA". It matches the Rfam family "Bacterial small subunit ribosomal RNA", at positions 773 to 1463 of the family's 1533-position model. The record is from RNAcentral.